AGACCGAUAGCGAACAAGUAGAGUGAUCGAAAGGUUAAAAGCACCUUGAAAAGGGAGUUAAACAGCACGUGAAAUUGUUGAAAGGGAAGCGCUUGCGGCCAGACUCGGGGGCGGGGUUCAGCGGGUGCUCGUCGCCCGUGUAUUCCUCGUCUCCCGGGCCAGCAUCAGUUUCGACGGCCGGUCAAAGGCCCCCGGAAUGUGUCGUCUCUCGGGACGUCUUAUAGCCGGGGGUGCAAUGCGGCCCGUCGGGACUGAGGAACGCGCUCCGGCUCGGAUGCUGGCGUAAUGGCCGUAAGCGGCCCGUCUUGAAACACGGCCAAG
This 321-nucleotide ribosomal RNA is filed under the name Trichophyton benhamiae. RNAcentral describes it as "eukaryotic LSU rRNA". It matches the Rfam family "Eukaryotic large subunit ribosomal RNA", at positions 331 to 670 of the family's 3401-position model. The record is from RNAcentral. Lineage: Eukaryota; Fungi; Ascomycota; Eurotiomycetes; Onygenales; Arthrodermataceae.